RNAcentral lists this ribosomal RNA (614 nucleotides) under Serratia ureilytica. RNAcentral describes it as "partial 23S ribosomal RNA". It matches the Rfam family "Bacterial large subunit ribosomal RNA", at positions 1757 to 2368 of the family's 2925-position model. Lineage: Bacteria; Pseudomonadati; Pseudomonadota; Gammaproteobacteria; Enterobacterales; Yersiniaceae. The record is from RNAcentral.
GCGGAUGGAGCUGAAGCCAGUCGAAGAUACCAGCUGGCUGCAACUGUUUAAUAAAAACACAGCACUGUGCAAACACGAAAGUGGACGUAUACGGUGUGACGCCUGCCCGGUGCUGGAAGGUUAAUUGAUGGGGUCAGCCGCAAGGCGAAGCUCUUGAUCGAAGCCCCAGUAAACGGCGGCCGUAACUAUAACGGUCCUAAGGUAGCGAAAUUCCUUGUCGGGUAAGUUCCGACCUGCACGAAUGGCGUAAUGAUGGCCAGGCUGUCUCCACCCGAGACUCAGUGAAAUUGAACUCGCUGUGAAGAUGCAGUGUACCCGCGGCAAGACGGAAAGACCCCGUGAACCUUUACUAUAGCUUGACACUGAACAUUGAGCCUUGAUGUGUAGGAUAGGUGGGAGGCUUUGAAGCGUGGACGCCAGUCUGCGUGGAGCCAUCCUUGAAAUACCACCCUUUAAUGUUUGAUGUUCUAACUCGGCCCCGUAAUCCGGGGUGAGGACAGUGUCUGGUGGGUAGUUUGACUGGGGCGGUCUCCUCCCAAAGAGUAACGGAGGAGCACGAAGGUUAGCUAAUCACGGUCGGACAUCGUGAGGUUAGUGCAAAGGCAUAAGCUAGC